ACCUUCGAAUGCACUCCAAACUCAUCUGAUCUCAGAAGCUUAGCAGGGUUGGGCCUGGCUAGUACUUGGAUGGGACACUGUCUAGGAAUACUGGCUGCUGGAGGCU
RNAcentral lists this ribosomal RNA (106 nucleotides) under Procavia capensis (Cape rock hyrax). The record is from RNAcentral. Lineage: Eukaryota; Metazoa; Chordata; Mammalia; Hyracoidea; Procaviidae.